UGGGCGUAAGCGCACGCAGGCGGUCUGUCAAGUCGGAUGUGAAAUCCCCGGGCUCAACCUGGGAACUGCAUUCGAAACUGGCAGGCUAGAGUCUUGUAGAGGGGGGUAGAAUUCCAGGUGUAGCGGUGAAAUGCGUAGAGAUCUGGAGGAAUACCGGUGGCGAAGGCGGCCCCCUGGACAAAGACUGACGCUCAGGUGCGAAAGCGUGGGGAGCAAACAGGAUUAGAUACCCUGGUAGUCCACGCCGUAAACGAUGUCGAUUUGGAGGUUGUGCCCUUGAGGCGUGGCUUCCGGAGCUAACGCGUUAAAUCGACCGCCUGGGGAGUACGGCCGCAAGGUUAAAACUCAAAUGAAUUGACGGGGGCCCGCACAAGCGGUGGAGCAUGUGGUUUAAUUCGAUGCAACGCGAAGAACCUUACCUGGUCUUGACAUCCACAGAACUUUCCAGAGAUGGAUUGGUGCCUUCGGGAACUGUGAGACAGGUGCUGCAUGGCUGUCGUCAGCUCGUGUUGUGAAAUGUUGGGUUAAGUCCCGCAACGAGCGCAACCCUUAUCCUUUGUUGCCAGCGGUUAGGCCGGGAACUCAAAGGAGACUGCCAGUGAUAAACUGGAGGAAGGUGGGGAUGACGUCAAGUCAUCA
RNAcentral lists this ribosomal RNA (639 nucleotides) under Enterobacter cloacae. RNAcentral's name for it is "bacterial SSU rRNA". It matches the Rfam family "Bacterial small subunit ribosomal RNA", at positions 555 to 1195 of the family's 1533-position model. Lineage: Bacteria; Pseudomonadati; Pseudomonadota; Gammaproteobacteria; Enterobacterales; Enterobacteriaceae. The record is from RNAcentral.